ACUAAAUCUAGCCUUGGAAAAAAGUUACUAAAGGUUUCAAGCUAAUGUUCAUCCCCUUUGAAGUCACAUUGGUGGCUCAUUUCAAAUAUUAGUUGCAAGAAUAACUGGAAGAAUUAGAGCAUUAAUUUUGAUCUAUGAUUAAAGCCAAACACAUAAUUCUAUUUCCUGAAAUCAAGCCGUAAUCAUUUUUCUAACAUGUUGAAACAACCAUCAUCUUCCAUUAAUCCGUUCUGUUGUACUUAUCCUAUUCCGGGUCACAGGAUGAGAGGUGGGGCACACACUGGACAGGUUGUUAUGCUUUGGAAGGGCUAACAUAGAGACACAGAGACAUCAUGGACUGCAGGGGGAUGUCAAGUACCACAAAUACAACUGUCAGUGGUGAAACCGAAGAUAACAGGAUCACAGAGCUCCCCACAAAGCAGUGACACGCCCACCUGAAACUCUUGAUAUCAACAUAAAUUCAAACUGUCAUUUAUUCAUGUGUUCCUAUCGUCUACAACAUGGACAUUUUCAUAUAUGGUCACCUCACCUUUUUGAUAUUUCUGCUUUGGAUCAAAGGUCUAACUGAUGCCAAGGAUGUCAAACAAACUCCCAUGCUGUGGGAACAACAGGGUAAUAAUGCAACAAUGGACUGCAGCCAUACCAAGGAUGCUAACUAUAUCCAGAUGUACUGGUACAGACAGCUGCCAGGAGAAAAUAUGGAACUGAUUGUGUUCACAACAACAGCCAAAAAAUACGAUCACGACUUUGGAAAAUUCAGCAAAGAGAAAUACUCAGCCACAAAGACUGAGGUUCAUGAUGGGACAUUUACAGUGAAGGACCUGGAGCCAAAAGACAGCGGCUGGUAUUUCUGUGCCGUCAGUGAG
Molecule: long non-coding RNA, 866 nt
Organism: Astatotilapia calliptera (eastern happy)
Lineage: Eukaryota; Metazoa; Chordata; Actinopteri; Cichliformes; Cichlidae
Source: Ensembl